RNAcentral lists this long non-coding RNA (786 nucleotides) under Phoenix dactylifera (date palm). RNAcentral's name for it is "long non-coding RNA (PDAC_LNC012661)". Lineage: Eukaryota; Viridiplantae; Streptophyta; Magnoliopsida; Arecales; Arecaceae. The record is from RNAcentral.
CUAUUUAUAUUUGUGUUCUUAUUUGCUUUUUCAUAGAGAUUCACAAGUAGUUAUCCUUCAACUUGGCAUUGCCCUCAAUGGCACCAUCAAAAAAAAAAAAAGGGAGAUAUUGGCCUCAAUGAUAAGGAAGAAGAUUAGUUAGAUUGAUAUUGUGAGAUUUAUAUUCAUGUCUCAUUUGCUUUCUCUUAAAGAUUCACAAGUGGUAUAUCCUUCAACUUGGCAUUGCCUUCAACGAUACCAUCAAAAAAUAAAAGAGAUGUUGCGCUCAAUGAUAAGGAAGAAGAUUAGUUAGAGUACCCCAUCACCUAUAGAAGAAUUAUCAAAUAUAUAAUCUAUAGCACCGAUACAUAUUUAUAAAGUUUCUUAGUAUUGUUCUUGUUGUUGUUGUUGUCGUUGUCAUUGUCAUUGUUUGUUUCCAAAUUAGUUUGACUUGAAGAACAGAUUCAUGCUAUUUGUCUCCGAACAUUAAGAAAAGCAUUUUGAACUUCUCUAUAAGUGACUUAUGUGGUUUAUUUACUUUCAUUUUCAGUACCAAGUCUCUCUCUUUCUAACAAAGUGUAUUCAGUUAAAUUAAGCAAACAAUUGUUAAUCUUAUGAGCAUACUUGCUUUGUCUCUUCUGUUUCUAACAGUUGCUUGUGUUAUUGUAAGCGAAGGAUCAAACAAGAAUUGUGUAGAUGAACUUUUAGGUGCUUUUGGCCAUAUGUGCACAUGAAUAUUUCGGAUAUAAACUUUUGAGAAGCAAGAAUAUUGUUGUUGUGAAAUAGUUUUCAUGAGUUAAUUGCUAA